Molecule: transfer RNA, 85 nt
Filed under: Felis catus (domestic cat)
Lineage: Eukaryota; Metazoa; Chordata; Mammalia; Carnivora; Felidae
Rfam family: tRNA
About the family: Transfer RNA (tRNA) molecules are approximately 80 nucleotides in length.
Source: Rfam by way of RNAcentral
GCCUGGGUGGCUGAGUUGGUUGAGCAUCUGAUUUAGGCUCAGAUCAUGAUCUCAUGGUUUGUGAGUUCAGGCCCCACAUUAGGCU